RNAcentral lists this non-coding RNA (164 nucleotides) under uncultured Agathobacter sp. Lineage: Bacteria; Bacillati; Bacillota; Clostridia; Lachnospirales; Lachnospiraceae. The record is from RNAcentral.
AGCGAAGUGUCUUAGAGUCUGUUGAAUUAUGCCUCAAUAAACAGAAAUGCCAAGCCAUGGACGGCUUGGCAAGGUGUUAUGCGCCACGGACGGCGCAUAAAAGCCGGUUUCGUCGGGCAUCGAAAACCUAUAAAGCAUAAUUUCUACAGACUCUUAGACACGAA